UGGGGAAUAUUGCACAAUGGGCGCAAGCCUGAUGCAGCCAUGCCGCGUGUAUGAAGAAGGCCUUCGGGUUGUAAAGUACUUUCAGCGGGGAGGAAGGGAGUAAAGUUAAUACCUUUGCUCAUUGACGUUACCCGCAGAAGAAGCACCGGCUAACUCCGUGCCAGCAGCCGCGGUAAUACGGAGGGUGCAAGCGUUAAUCGGAAUUACUGGGCGUAAAGCGCACGCAGGCGGUUUGUUAAGUCAGAUGUGAAAUCCCCGGGCUCAACCUGGGAACUGCAUCUGAUACUGGCAAGCUGGAGUCUCGUAGAGGGGGGUAGAAUGCCAGGUGUAGCGGUGAAAUGCGUAGAGAUCUGGAGGAAUACCGGUGGCGAAGGCGGCCCCCUGGACGAAGACUGACGCUCAGGUGCGAAAGCGGGGGGAGCAAACAGG
This 429-nucleotide ribosomal RNA is filed under the name Chloroflexota bacterium. RNAcentral describes it as "Chloroflexi bacterium partial 16S ribosomal RNA". It matches the Rfam family "Bacterial small subunit ribosomal RNA", at positions 355 to 776 of the family's 1533-position model. Lineage: Bacteria; Bacillati; Chloroflexota. The record is from RNAcentral.